AGAUACAUGUCACUGUUGGAGCC
Molecule: non-coding RNA, 23 nt
Filed under: Cricetulus griseus (Chinese hamster)
Lineage: Eukaryota; Metazoa; Chordata; Mammalia; Rodentia; Cricetidae
Source: RNAcentral